GACGGAAGGUGCAAGCGUUGCUCGGAAUCACUGGGCGUAAAGGGUGCGUAGGCGGCCGUGCAAGUCUGGCGUGAAAGCCCCGGGCUCAGCCCGGGAAGUGCGCUCGAAACUGCGCGGCUCGAGUGCCGGAGGGGAGAGUGGAAUUCCUGGUGUAGCGGUGAAAUGCGUAGAUAUCAGGAAGAACACCCGUGGCGAAAGCGGCUCUCUGGAACGGUACUGACGCUGAGACGCGAAAGCGUGGGGAGCGAACAGG
This 253-nucleotide ribosomal RNA is filed under the name uncultured bacterium. Its description in RNAcentral is "partial 16S ribosomal RNA". It matches the Rfam family "Bacterial small subunit ribosomal RNA", at positions 524 to 776 of the family's 1533-position model. The record is from RNAcentral.